CAGCACAGCCCUGAGGUGGUGGAAGCCGUUCUGUCAGAGCAGACUCAGACCCGGAGCUCAGACUCAAAGGCUGUGGACUCCGUUUCCCAGAGUGCCUUGCUGCCCAACGUGCUGCUGCUGUGCACGGCUCCACAGGCGGACAUCACAUGUGCAGCGCUAACCACUCUGCGAGUCCUGGUCCAGAGGAGCCCGGAGAGCCGCCAGGACAGGUAUGGACCAGGACUAAACCGUACGUAGGGUUAAACCUGGGCAAAACCUUAUAUUA
Molecule: long non-coding RNA, 265 nt
Filed under: Neogobius melanostomus (round goby)
Lineage: Eukaryota; Metazoa; Chordata; Actinopteri; Gobiiformes; Gobiidae
Description: lncRNA (ENSNMLG00000020807.1)
Source: RNAcentral